GGGAGCAUGAGGACAUCCUGGCCGUGGAGGGCGACCGAGUACUGCGCGGGGGGCCCCGCGGGAACGGAGAAGAGGAACUCUCUCCAUAGCGCAUAGGGGGCCCCGGGUAGCCCUGGCCCUGACGUGCAGCCAUUGGCGCAGGCCUCGGGGUGGCAGGAGGCGUCCAGCGGCAAGCAGAUGUUGGCUCCAGGGCACCAGCGUCCCCCUGGCAUGCACGCGGGGGCCAGCUGGGUCCUGUUGUCCGGGGACCUGCUCUCAGGCUCGCUGCCGUUCUCCGGGGUCCCUG
RNAcentral lists this long non-coding RNA (286 nucleotides) under Pan troglodytes (chimpanzee). RNAcentral describes it as "long non-coding RNA NONPTRT005883". Lineage: Eukaryota; Metazoa; Chordata; Mammalia; Primates; Hominidae. The record is from RNAcentral.